This 849-nucleotide ribosomal RNA is filed under the name uncultured bacterium. RNAcentral describes it as "bacterial SSU rRNA". It matches the Rfam family "Bacterial small subunit ribosomal RNA", at positions 55 to 887 of the family's 1533-position model. The record is from RNAcentral.
AUGCAAGUCGGACGGUAACAGGAGAGAAGCUUGCUUUUCUUGCUGACGAGUGGCGGACGGGUGAGUAACGCGUGGGAAUCUACCCUUUAGUUGGGGACAACAUAUGGAAACGUAUGCUAAUACCGAAUAUGCUCUACGGGAGUAAAGGUGCCCUCUCCUUGGAAGGUAUCGCUAAAGGAUGAGCCCGCGUUAGAUUAGCUAGUUGGUAGGGUAAAGGCCUACCAAGGCGACGAUCUAUAGCUGGUUUGAGAGGAUGAUCAGCCACACUGGGACUGAGACACGGCCCAGACUCCUACGGGAGGCAGCAGUGGGGAAUAUUGCACAAUGAGGGAAACCUUGAUGCAGCCAUGCCGCGUGUGUGAAGAAGGCCCGAGGGUUGUAAAGCACUUUCAAUUGUGAGGAAGAUUAAGUAGCUAAUACCUGCUUAGUUUGACGUUAACUUUAGAAGAAGCACCGGCUAACUCUGUGCCAGCAGCCGCGGUAAUACAGAGGGUGCAAGCGUUAUUCGGAAUUACUGGGCGUAAAGCGCGCGUAGGCGGACUGUUAAGUCGGUUGUGAAAGCCCUGGGCUCAACCUAGGAACUGCAUCCGAUACUGGCAAUCUAGAGUUUAAGAGAGGGAAGUGGAAUUCCAGGUGUAGCAGUGAAAUGCGUAGAUAUCUGGAGGAACAUCAGUGGCGAAGGCGACUUCCUGGCUUAAAACUGACGCUGAGGUGCGAAAGCUUGGGUAGCGAACGGGAUUAGAUACCCCGGUAGUCCAAGCCGUAAACGAUGUCAACUAGCUGUUGGUCUUAUUAAAAAGAUUAGUAGCGCAGCUAACGCGAUAAGUUGACCGCCUGGGGAGUACGGUC